RNAcentral lists this ribosomal RNA (441 nucleotides) under uncultured bacterium. Its description in RNAcentral is "partial 16S ribosomal RNA". It matches the Rfam family "Bacterial small subunit ribosomal RNA", at positions 355 to 813 of the family's 1533-position model. The record is from RNAcentral.
UAGGGAAUCUUCCACAAUGGGGGCAACCCUGAUCCAGCAAUGCCGCGUGUGUGAAGAAGGUCUUCGGAUUGUAAAGCACUUUCGACGGGGACGAUGAUGACGGUACCCGUAGAAGAAGCCCCGGCUAACUUCGUGCCAGCAGCCGCGGUAAUACGAAGGGGGCUAGCGUUGCUCGGAAUGACUGGGCGUAAAGGGCGUGUAGGCGGUUUACACAGUCAGAUGUGAAAUCCCCGGGCUUAACCUGGGAGCUGCAUUUGAUACGUGUAGACUAGAGUGUGAGAGAGGGUUGUGGAAUUCCCAGUGUAGAGGUGAAAUUCGUAGAUAUUGGGAAGAACACCGGUGGCGAAGGCGGCAACCUGGCUCAUGACUGACGCUGAGGCGCGAAAGCGUGGGGAGCAAACAGGAUUAGAUACCCUGGUAGUCCACGCUGUAAACGAUGUG